This 280-nucleotide ribosomal RNA is filed under the name uncultured bacterium. RNAcentral describes it as "partial 16S ribosomal RNA". It matches the Rfam family "Bacterial small subunit ribosomal RNA", at positions 773 to 1060 of the family's 1533-position model. The record is from RNAcentral.
GUGGAUUAGAUACCCUGGUAGUCCACGCCGUAAACGAUGGAUACUAGCUGUUGGGCGCAAGUUCAGUGGCUAAGCGAAAGUGAUAAGUAUCCCACCUGGGGAGUACGAACGCAAGUUUGAAACUCAAAGGAAUUGACGGGGGCCCGCACAAGCGGUGGAGCAUGUGGUUUAAUUCGAUGAUACGCGAGGAACCUUACCAAGGCUUAAAUGUAGUUUGACCGAUUUGGAAACAGAUCUUUCGCAAGACAAAUUACAAGGUGCUGCACGGCUGUCGUCAACU